GAAAUGCGAUAAGUAAUGUGAAUUGCAGAAUUCAGUGAAUCAUCGAAUCUUUGAACGCACCUUGCGCUCCUUGGUAUUCCUUGGAGCAUGCCUGUUUGAGUAUCAUGAAAUCUUCAAAGUAAAUCUUUUGUUAACUCAAUUGGUUUCUACUUUGGUAUUGGAGGUCUUUGCAGCUUCACACCGGCUCCUCUUUGUUCAUUAGCUGGAUCUCAGUGUUAUGCUUGGUUCCACUCGGCGUGAUAAGUUAUCUAUCGCUGAGGACACUGUAAAAGGUGGCCAAGGUAAAUGCAGAUGAACCGCUUCUAAUAGUCCAUUGACUUGGACAAUACUUUUAUGAUCUGAUCUCAAAUCAGGUAGGACUACCCGCUGAACUUAAGC
Molecule: unclassified non-coding RNA, 378 nt
Filed under: plant metagenome
Description: partial contains 5.8S ribosomal RNA, internal transcribed spacer 2, and large subunit ribosomal RNA
Rfam family: 5.8S ribosomal RNA (bases 1-105)
Source: RNAcentral